CGGUUAAGGCAGACGAGAAAACCGCCAACGUCUAGUUCGCUACUCGACCAUCGAUCCAUCAGCACGUAUCGAUACAUUGUUCGUGAUACGCCAUUUUCCCGAUUCUCUGAAUAAACUUGUUGAGUUAUAUACUUCCACAAUAAUCCACGGAACCAUAAAACCUACAGAGGUUACGAUGAGUACGCCGACUUCCGAUUGCGCAGCGUCAUCGAACCACCAACACGUGAAGUACAUAUGUGAAGGAAUGAUAUUCGUGUUCUAAAAAUCACAGUUAAUUCGUUCUUUAUUGAAAGUAUAACGUUAGCGCUUGGUCGAGGAGUUGUACGGCAAGAAGAAGUAGCGCGCGUUCGAUCGCGUUUAUAUACGCGCUCGGUCAAACAUUCUCGAAGAAAACUCUUCAGACGAGGGCGUACGUUACCCAGGUCAUGGUGGUCCCCUUGGUCAUAAAUUUGUCAAUGGGCCUGGACUAUCUUUCAGGCCCCCAAGUAUCGACACGCAAAAGGGCGAACUGUCUACACUAAUAAUAUUGAGGAAGAGUAUAAUGCAAGAUAAUCUUAUCGUUUUAAUCGCGUCGAGGAAGGAACUACCCUAUUUCACUGCCUACGAAUCUUAGUGCAAUAUGCGGUGCAGCUAGGGGGCGACUUGCAUUCGGGGAGCGUCUUGCCGAUCUUGAGUUAGACUGUCUCUCAUCCCGCUGGUCUUCCGAGUUACAUCCUCCUGCCCUUAGAUAAGGACAGGAAGCAAGCCACACUGACGCCAAAGCCACAAAAUGCGCCAAAAUCCCGGUGAAAGUGCUCACGUGGCUGAUCGAAAAAACCCUUACUCGUACGAUUCUGGCUGCCAGAUGCGUGUACUGACCGUAGCCCGAUUCCCACAGGCCUUAGCGGAACGCGAAAAAAUGUAUACAGGUAUAUGGAAAAUAAAACUGCCUCGCUACAACCCCUUGUCCUACAACAACGAGUGAGAUUCGUGGUACAGAUUUUCAACAUGAUUUAAUAAAUAUAUAUAUAAUUCAAGUAAAUAU
Long non-coding RNA from Nomia melanderi (Alkali bee), 1024 nucleotides. RefSeq lists it as uncharacterized. The record is from RefSeq and is a predicted model, not a curated record. NCBI's taxonomy places the organism in Eukaryota, Metazoa, Arthropoda, Insecta, Hymenoptera, Halictidae.